RNAcentral lists this unclassified non-coding RNA (786 nucleotides) under Hevea brasiliensis (rubber tree). Lineage: Eukaryota; Viridiplantae; Streptophyta; Magnoliopsida; Malpighiales; Euphorbiaceae. The record is from RNAcentral.
AAAAAAGUGAUACUGUUACAGUUUUUUUUGAAAGAAGAAAAUCAAGGGUUUCUACUGUGAUUUUUGCUUCACGUUGAGAUCAGGAAUGAGGAGAAACCCAAAAGCUUCAAUCGACCCGAUCCGCGCAAGCAAGAGGAUAGCCAAAGCAAAAAAUGUGAUGAAUCCGAUAGUUGCCAUUGAAGCAAUAAAUAAGAGGAACCCUGAAGUUGCCGGAUCGGAAGUAAUUACAAGGAAGACAACAGUGGUUCCAGAAAUUGCUGAUGAGUCAACAUUGACGAAGAAGAUCAAAGCAUCCAAUAAAACAGCCGAUACGAAGAGAGGCAAAAGGCCCUUUGCAAGUAAAGUUCCAGAGACAGAUAGCAACUACAAAACUCUGUAUUUUGACUCGCAAAAAAAGGUUGAGGAUUUGACAGAGCUAAACCAUAAACAAGCUAUUGAUUUGAGCUACCGGAGUGGACAAGUUGAUGCAUACGAGUAUAUAAUUGGAAAUAUGAAGAAUGUGGUGGCCUUCUCAAGUACAAUGAGAGCAACUGAUGAAGAGAUGAACUUGUCUAAAGGAACUGCUCCGGAUGGUCCUUCGUUGAACCUGAACCAUCUCGAAUGACAAGAACAUAUUCGUAGAACGUGUGUUCAUCAUCCUCAUUGGUAGUGAAUGUUUUUGGUGGCCUUCCAUUUAUUUGGUGGUGUUAAAUGUACAUGUAUGUUUGAAAUUAAUAACUCUUGGUUGGUUUCUCUGCAACUAGUAGUUUGAACUCUUGUUGGUAAAGCUGAAAGUUGGUGUUGAAU